UGCAAGUCGAGCGGUAGCACAGAGAGCUUGCUCUCGGGUGACGAGCGGCGGACGGGUGAGUAAUGUCUGGGAAACUGCCUGAUGGAGGGGGAUAACUACUGGAAACGGUAGCUAAUACCGCAUAAUGUCGCAAGACCAAAGUGGGGGACCUUCGGGCCUCAUGCCAUCAGAUGUGCCCAGAUGGGAUUAGCUAGUAGGUGGGGUAACGGCUCACCUAGGCGACGAUCCCUAGCUGGUCUGAGAGGAUGACCAGCCACACUGGAACUGAGACACGGUCCAGACUCCUACGGGAGGCAGCAGUGGGGAAUAUUGCACAAUGGGCGCAAGCCUGAUGCAGCCAUGCCGCGUGUGUGAAGAAGGCCUUCGGGUUGUAAAGCACUUUCAGCGGGGAGGAAGGCGAUAAGGUUAAUAACCUUGUCGAUUGACGUUACCCGCAGAAGAAGCACCGGCUAACUCCGUGCCAGCAGCCGCGGUAAUACGGAGGGUGCAAGCGUUAAUCGGAAUUACUGGGCGUAAAGCGCACGCAGGCGGUCUGUCAAGUCGGAUGUGAAAUCCCCGGGCUCAACCUGGGAACUGCAUUCGAAACUGGCAGGCUAGAGUCUUGUAGAGGGGGGUAGAAUUCCAGGUGUAGCGGUGAAAUGCGUAGAGAUCUGGAGGAAUACCGGUGGCGAAGGCGGCCCCCUGGACAAAGACUGACGCUCAGGUGCGAAAGCGUGGGGAGCAAACAGGAUUAGAUACCCUGGUAGUCCACGCCGUAAACGAUGUCGAUUUGGAGGUUGUGCCCUUGAGGCGUGGCUUCCGGAGCUAACGCGUUAAAUCGACCGCCUGGGGAGUACGGCCGCAAGGUUAAAACUCAAAUGAAUUGACGGGGGCCCGCACAAGCGGUGGAGCAUGUGGUUUAAUUCGAUGCAACGCGAAGAACCUUACCUGGUCUUGACAUCCACAGAACUUUCCAGAGAUGGAUUGGUGCCUUCGGGAACUGUGAGACAGGUGCUGCAUGGCUGUCGUCAGCUCGUGUUGUGAAAUGUUGGGUUAAGUCCCGCAACGAGCGCAACCCUUAUCCUUUGUUGCCAGCGGUUAGGCCGGGAACUCAAAGGAGACUGCCAGUGAUAAACUGGAGGAAGGUGGGGAUGACGUCAAGUCAUCAUGGCCCUUACGACCAGGGCUACACACGUGCUACAAUGGCAUAUACAAAGAGAAGCGACCUCGCGAGAGCAAGCGGACCUCAUAAAGUAUGUCGUAGUCCGGAUUGGAGUCUGCAACUCGACUCCAUGAAGUCGGAAUCGCUAGUAAUCGUAGAUCAGAA
This 1306-nucleotide ribosomal RNA is filed under the name uncultured Klebsiella sp. RNAcentral describes it as "bacterial SSU rRNA". It matches the Rfam family "Bacterial small subunit ribosomal RNA", at positions 56 to 1354 of the family's 1533-position model. The record is from RNAcentral. Lineage: Bacteria; Pseudomonadati; Pseudomonadota; Gammaproteobacteria; Enterobacterales; Enterobacteriaceae.